UUUCCUCCGCCGAUAGCCUUAGGAGAGUCUUACCGGAGCAGCUCCCUUCUCAUUGCAAUCUAUCAGUUUCCGACAAGGGCUAGGCGGUGAUUUUGGUGUACUUAAACUCCACGCAACUCAAUCUUCACGUAGGCAUCUCUAAAUUCGAAAUCCGAUACGGUUGGCGAUACCGGCUUUUGGAACCUGGUGUUUUUUAAGCUAGCGGAAUUUUAGAUUUUGACUCGGUAUAAUUUUAUUUAGAUCUUAAAAAUUAUCUAAAAAUUAUUAAAAAAUGUUAAGUGUAUCAAUUGUUAGUUAUUGAUAAUUAAUUAAAUUAUUUAAUUAAUUAGUAGCUGAUUCUAGAAAUACUGCAUAUUAAUAAUAGAAAGAAUUAUUAUUUUAUUGUAUAAAUUGAAGGUGUGAUUAAUUAAUUAAAUAUGAGGAAAUAAUUGUAGGUUGUAUCAUGAAUAAUAUUAUCAGUUUGCCGGACUGUUGAUUUUGUAUUGUAAUUUGGGUUGUGUUGCAGAGUCGGAAAAUAAUGCAGUUUUGGUGGCCCAAUUCUCGUUAAAUAAUUAUGAAAUAUUUGAAGUGUUUCUAGCAGGCUUUGAACCCAUUAUAGGGAAGGUAAAUUUUCAUAUUUUAGGGAAAGUUCUAUCGAAUUUUCGGUAUCAAAAUUCCUUAGGCAGUCUAAUCUAAGAGUCUACGCCUAGGGAAUGAAUAUUUCAUUAAUUUCAUCCGAGGCGUAGGGAACAGUUAGUGGAACUUGGCAGAACUGAGAGUUAGAAUCAUAUAUUCUACCCUCUAUGUCAUAUAUGCAUUUCAAUAUAAUUCUUAAAUGAAUAAUUAAUAUGGUUAUUUUAGUAGUAUAAGUAAUAUUAAAUCUAUUUUUAUCUUCAUCACUGCUAAUAUUAUUAAUAUUGAUAUAAUGGUUGUUAUUAUUAUUAUUCUUAUUAUUAUUAUUGUUUGUGCCACUACUUUUAUUUCAUCUCAUUAUUAUUAUUAUUAUUAUCACUGUUAUUAUUAUUUAAAUAUUAUUAAUAUUAUAAAAUUUUGUGCAUCAUGUUACUUAAUUUUUUAUUGAUGUUAAAUAUAUAUUGUGGUUCGGAAUAAGGCAACGAUAGAACAUGCCACAUGAUGGGCUCCAUUAGGACCAUGUGCGUACCAGUGAAAAUCAGAAUUAGGUAAUAAAGGAAUAUUCAUGAUGUGCUCUGUUGAGUGCAGCUUUCUGAGCCUAUGGAAGUCUAAAUUGCCAAAGAAAGGUCCAUAGUCGAGCGUUGCUCUCUGAACGCCGACUACAUUAGUAUUCAAGUGAUCAGAUUGGACUUAAGAAUUUUGGUUGAGCUUUGCUCUCUGAGUGCCACUCUUAUUGGAUUAAGAGAGCCAAAAGACUGUUAGAUUUGGAGAUUUAGAGUGUGCUGGAGUGCUCGUCCUGUGUGUUAAAUUUGCAUGUCUUUUUAAAAUUACGAUAUGAUACGCAUUUGUUAUUUGUGAUAUUUUAUACUAUUAAAUAAUUAUUUUAUAUUUACAGUUAUUAUAAUUCUGAGUAUAUGAUUUUAAUUUACUCUCGAGACUGAUAGUUUCAAUUUUAAAUUUUUCAGGUGACAGCUAGAUUCUCUACAAACUUCUUUUUGCAUCCCGACUUUCUUUCCCCUUUGGACUUGUUGUAAUUAAAUCUUAACUUUUGUAUUUCAAAUUAUUUAAAAUUCUAGACUCUCUGCAGUAGUGUAUUUGAUACUUUACAUUUUAUCUUGGUCUGUUAAAGAUAAUAAAAUUUUUUUCUAGUAAUCUAGCUUAAGAAUUUAUUUGGCUGUGUGGUGAAUUGUGAAAGAAUUAUUGAUUUAUUUAACUAGUGUAUAUAUUCAUGCAUGCGAUUAUCUAAAUUAUUGGCUAAUUAGGUUUGCUACGGGUUUCAGAGGAUUUAAAUCUAUUCAUUUUCUAGCGCCGAUUACGGCCCCACAGAUCGGGUCAUGACAAAAUAAUCCAGGUAACGAGAAUUUUUGUCAAGUACAUAAAAUGUUGGGGAUGCAAGGAAAAUAUCCAAUUAAACCGGUGAUGAUAAGAAAUGUCAAUGAAACAAGCAGAUUCAUGACUUGAAAGGUUGUGCACAGAAUAAAUAGGG
RNAcentral lists this long non-coding RNA (2098 nucleotides) under Ricinus communis (castor bean). Its description in RNAcentral is "long non-coding RNA (RCOM_LNC002829)". The record is from RNAcentral. Lineage: Eukaryota; Viridiplantae; Streptophyta; Magnoliopsida; Malpighiales; Euphorbiaceae.